Molecule: ribosomal RNA, 350 nt
Filed under: uncultured bacterium
Lineage: Bacteria
Description: bacterial SSU rRNA
Rfam family: Bacterial small subunit ribosomal RNA
Source: RNAcentral
CUAUGGAUGAAAGCGGGGGAUCGCAAGACCUCGCGCGAUUGGAGCGGCCGAUGUCAGAUUAGCUAGUUGGUGGGGUAAAGGCCCACCAAGGCGACGAUCUGUAGCUGGUCUGAGAGGACGACCAGCCACACUGGGACUGAGACACGGCCCAGACUCCUACGGGAGGCAGCAGUGGGGAAUUUUGGACAAUGGGCGCAAGCCUGAUCCAGCAAUGCCGCGUGCAGGAAGAAGGCCUUCGGGUUGUAAACUGCUUUUGUACGGAACGAAAAGGUCUGGGUUAAUACCCUGGGCUCAUGACGGUACCGUAAGAAUAAGCACCGGCUAACUACGUGCCAGCAGCCGCGGUAAUA